CUCAUUAAAUCAGUUAUAGUUUAUUUGAUGGUCUCUUUGUUCUUCUUUUUACCUACUUGGAUAACCGUGGUAAUUCUAGAGCUAAUACAUGCGCAAGGUCCCGAGCGCGGGGGAUGGGGCUUCACGGCUCUGUCCUCGCAUGCGCAGAGGGAUGUAUUUAUUAGGUUAAACAACCAGCAUUUUCAAUAUCAUCUGGUGAUUCAUAGUAACUCUUUCGGAUCGCAUUCAUG
Molecule: ribosomal RNA, 230 nt
Filed under: uncultured Acanthamoeba
Lineage: Eukaryota; Discosea; Longamoebia; Acanthamoebidae
Description: partial 18S ribosomal RNA
Rfam family: Eukaryotic small subunit ribosomal RNA
Source: RNAcentral